ACGUGAUAGUUGACGGCAGGCGUGCGCGGUAAGGAUGAGGGGGUAAGGUUUGGCCGGAUUUAUUGGGCUGAAGGCGAGGGCAGGGGGUUCCUUAAGUCUGAGGUGAAAGCCCACGGCUCAACCGUGGAAGGUCAGUGGAAACUGGGGAACUUGAGUGCAGAAGAGGAGAGUGGAAUUCCAUGUGUAGCGGUGAAAUGCGUAGAUAUAUGGAGGAACACCAGUGGCGAAGGCGACUCUCUGGUCUGUAACUGACGCUGAGGCUCGAAAGCGUGGGGAGCAAACAGGAUUAGAUACCCCGUC
This 300-nucleotide ribosomal RNA is filed under the name uncultured Lactobacillus sp. RNAcentral describes it as "bacterial SSU rRNA". It matches the Rfam family "Bacterial small subunit ribosomal RNA", at positions 496 to 791 of the family's 1533-position model. Lineage: Bacteria; Bacillati; Bacillota; Bacilli; Lactobacillales; Lactobacillaceae. The record is from RNAcentral.